UACGGGGGGGCAAGCGUUGUUCGGAAUUACUGGGCGUAAAGGGCGCGUAGGCGGUUCGCUAAGUCGGAUGUGAAAACUCUGGGCUCAACCCAGAGCCUGCAUCCGAAACUGGCGGGCUAGAGUUCUGGAGGGGGUAGCGGAAUUCCUGGUGUAGCGGUGAAAUGCGUAGAUAUCAGGAGGAACACCGGUGGCGAAGGCGGGUCUCUGGGCCGAUACUGACGCUGAGGAGCGAAAGCGUGGGGAGCGAACAGG
Molecule: ribosomal RNA, 252 nt
Filed under: uncultured bacterium
Lineage: Bacteria
Description: partial 16S ribosomal RNA
Rfam family: Bacterial small subunit ribosomal RNA
Source: RNAcentral